Long non-coding RNA from Lolium perenne, 1667 nucleotides. RefSeq lists it as uncharacterized. The record is from RefSeq and is a predicted model, not a curated record. Lineage: Eukaryota; Viridiplantae; Streptophyta; Magnoliopsida; Poales; Poaceae.
GCGAAGUGACGAUCCCUCCCUGUUCAACCAUAGCCGUCAUGCCUUCUCGCCCCCACACGAUUUCCUUCCUCCACCCGUCGGCGUUCUCUACGCGUGCCCCAUCCGCGCACAUCGGCGACGCGCCGCCGCCCCUCUCCCCUCUAUCAAGCCUCAUCAGCCUCAUCAAGCCCCUCCUCCAACCCCGCUCCACUUACACCACCAAAACCCUAGCCUGCCCACCUCUUCCCUCCGCCUCGCUAGGUACUUGCCCGCAUGGAGGAGGCGCUGCCAAGCUCACGGGAGGAUGUUGGAGCGCGUGGACUCCAGCGCAUGCCGCCAUGACCCAUUCCUCCCCUCCCCCUCCACGGCGACGGAGAACUCGCGUGGAGGACGACGGCAAGGAGCCCGCAUCGUGUGAACCAAGCGCCACCGAAGACAGGCACCUCCAGCGUCCGCGCUCCGAAACUGGGCAGGGAGGACCCGAUCUCGGACUUCAGGGGCCUGGAUCUGAGAGCCCUCCUCUGAAUUAUUCAUUUAAUUUUUUAUCACUUAAAACAAUCCGAUUUGUUUCUGCUGUUUUCCUAGAGAUUCCUGUUCAUAUUGCUUCAGCCUGAUUCCUAACGUAUUCUAUGGUAGCAGUGGUGGUCUAGGCGGAAGCAGUAAGCAUGCCGGAGAGUCAGCCGAAGGACCUGCAAACGUUGUGGUACACUUGGAGAAUCACGAAUUUCAGCAGGCACAUCAGGAUGAAGCACUACUAGGGCGUGUUCUUAGUUUUCUGAAGGGAAAUAACGUAGAGCACUUAUCAAUUUACUUGGGACUCAACCAACCUCCCAUGGGUUCGAGCCGAUCUUCAUGGCAGUUGUUUUCCUAAUCUGAAUACACGCUUUAGUUCUGGUGGACAGCAAAGAUUGUUAGCUAGCUCACGUUGGCUUGUUCGCUAAUCUUGAUGUAAGCAUAUCUCAUCUGUACUUACAAUCCAUGCUGCAUUUUCCACUACCGCCAGGACGUCUCUUCUAAUAUCUUGUAUAAAGCACACCGAUUGAAUCUACAUCCGCUGCAAUUUGGGAACGGGGAUUGGGGAGUACAACAUGGAAAAGAGAAUAUUCGAAGAGAAUGUGCACCUCUACUUUAUUAAGCUAAACAGGAACACCGAUACUGCUAGCAUCGUGGCUGCAUUAUUUUCGUUGAUGAACUAAAAUGUGUGUUUUGAUUGGAUAGAAUAUAUGAUCCAUUCUUCAGUAAAUUUGGUGACACAUGCCUCUCUAAAAAAGGUCCAUAGAGGCAACAAGUGAAAAUCAUGUAAUUAAAGAAGUUACUCUCGCAAAUUUUGUACCUUACAAAUUUAUCAUUCUUUACUCCAUUUUUGUAUACAUGUUGUGCCGGAAAGUGAGUGGGAGAGGUGUUAUAAGAAGUCAAACAAAUAUAUGUGAGAUUUUGUGUCUGAGUUUGAGUGCAUAGCCUUCAACCUGUUCAUCUUUUCUCACCUAACUGGUACAUGUGGAGUAGGAGUUCUGGCAAAGGAAAGAGCUAUAUUUAUGAGACGCUUCCGGAAAUACGCUGAUGUGCUUCUUAAACCCUGAAUUAAGCAGCGAAGCUGAAGUUACAAUGGCCCGCAAAGGUUUUGGAGCAAGUCAACGUGUGAAAUCUUUAGAGCAAGUCGAAGCUUACCCGCAUGGAGACCAAGGGUG